UCAGCUUCCUCAUAGUUUCACUCCGGUUCCUCCAGUUUUCCUCAGGCUUGCUGGAACUCACCUGUCCUCCAUGUGUGAACAGGCCCCGCCUCCAGUCCAGUACAGUGCAGUUCAUUCCGAGUGAGAG
Melanotaenia boesemani (Boeseman's rainbowfish) is the source of this 127-nucleotide long non-coding RNA. RefSeq lists it as uncharacterized. NCBI's taxonomy places the organism in Eukaryota, Metazoa, Chordata, Actinopteri, Atheriniformes, Melanotaeniidae. The record is from RefSeq and is a predicted model, not a curated record. The transcript is spliced from 3 exons.